CUCCGGUUGAUCCUGCCGGACCCGACUGCUAUCAGAGUGGGACUAAGCCAUGCGAGUCAACAUAGCAAUAUGUGGCAUACGGCUCAGUAACACGUAGUCAACAUGCCCAGGGGACGUGGAUAACCUCGGGAAACUGAGGAUAAACCGCGAUAGGUCAUCACUUCUGGAAUGGGUAAUGACUUAAAUCUAUAUGGCCCCUGGAUUGGACUGCGGCCGAUCAGGCUGUUGGUGAGGUAAUGGCCCACCAAACCUGUAACCGGUACGGGCUCUGAGAGGAGGAGCCCGGAGAUGGGCACUGAGACAAGGGCCCAGGCCCUAUGGGGCGCAGCAGGCGCGAAACCUCUGCAAUAGGCGAAAGCUUGACAGGGUUACUCUGAGUGAUUUCCGUUAAGGAGAUCUUUUGGCACCUCUAAAAAUGGUGCAGAAUAAGGGGUGGGCAAGUCUGGUGUCAGCCGCCGCGGUAAUACCAGCACCCCGAGUGGUCGGGACGUUUAUUGGGCCUAAAGCAUCCGUAGCCGGUUCUACAAGUCUUCCGUUAAAUCCACCUGCUUAACAGAUGGGCUGCGGAAGAUACUAUAGAGCUAGGAGGCGGGAGAGGCAAGCGGUACUCGAUGGGUAGGGGUAAAAUCCGUUGAUCCAUUGAAGACCACCAGUGGCGAAGGCGGCUUGCCAGAACGCGCUCGACGGUGAGGGAUGAAAGCUGGGGGAGCAAACCGGAUUAGAUACCCGGGUAGUCCCAGCUGUAAACGAUGCAGACUCGGUGACGGGCUAGCCUUGUGCCAGCCCAGUGCCGCAGGGAAGCCGUUAAGUUUGCCGCCUGGGGAGUACGGUCGCAAGACUGAAACUUAAAGGAAUUGGCGGGGGAGCA
Molecule: ribosomal RNA, 868 nt
Filed under: uncultured archaeon
Lineage: Archaea
Description: bacterial SSU rRNA
Rfam family: Archaeal small subunit ribosomal RNA
Source: RNAcentral